UUGCUCUUGCGACGCGCUCUGGACCUUCGCGGCCGUAAAAUCCGGCGCUCACCGAAUCGCUCGCUCGGCGGUUUGCGUGUUGCGCCCGGUGGCCCCGUGGUCUUAAGCACAAGCCGCGCCGUUGUCCGUGUUCGUCUCGGGACGUCCGCGACGCCGCCUUGCUCUCGGCGGCGGCCAAAUUUCCUCUCCGUCACCGCUAUGCGGGACCCGGCUCGCUCUCGCUAACGGGCCCGCUUAUAACCAGCUUCAGGGUGACGGGCGGAGGAGAGAAGCUUACGCUGACGCUCGAUCGACGAGUCGGCGCCCGUACGAAAAAAAUUGGAAAAAAAAUAACCGUGCGUUGCGCGUUAUUUUUUUUUUUCCUUUCUUUCCGACCUCAAAUCGGACGAGAUUACCCCCUGAAUUUAAGCAUAGAAA
This 417-nucleotide unclassified non-coding RNA is filed under the name Ampullaceana balthica. Its description in RNAcentral is "sequence contains ITS1, 5.8S rRNA gene, ITS2". Lineage: Eukaryota; Metazoa; Mollusca; Gastropoda; Lymnaeidae. The record is from RNAcentral.